GGCCUCCCAUGCUUACCACAGACUGUGGUCUUAUAACAACUGUACAGAAAGAGAAGGCACUGUAAAUGCAUCCCAUAUAAACCUCAGCCCAGACUCUUUACAUGGUCUGUAUUGUGAAUUGGGGGACAUAG
Molecule: small nucleolar RNA, 131 nt
Organism: Suncus etruscus (white-toothed pygmy shrew)
Lineage: Eukaryota; Metazoa; Chordata; Mammalia; Eulipotyphla; Soricidae
Product: small nucleolar RNA SNORA51
Exons: 1
Source: RefSeq, a predicted model, not a curated record